CUCAUAACUGCUUUAAAAAUAAAUAAAUGGCAUGGAGUAGAACAGGGAAGGUAACACCAAAGCUAACACAGCAGGUCGGCUUGACAAGAGAGACACCAAAAUCUCCAGCAGUGCCACUUGUUUCCAACACCUUUAUCCACUUCAACCAAGUCGCUCUGCAUACUAAACACAUCCGCUCUGAAUCAACAAACGCCCAGAGACGGGAACAAAAAGACGGAAAGUGAGAAAGGAAAUUAGAAAGAGGGGUGAGAGGAUGAUGAAUGGAAGACGCUAAAGUGGGUCCCAGGUGUACAGCGGUAUGGCAGAGAAAGCAGAAAUCUCCUUCGUCACAUCGAGCAAAGUGAAGAUGGAUCAGAAGUAAGUGAAGAUGAUGACGGGCUGCAGGAAUACUUGGCAGGAGAAAAGAAAGAUUGAUGAGGAUUGAUGAGGAUGAGGCUAGAACAGCACAAGGCAGAUGGGAAGAGUGAUUUCAACACUCUUCUUCCUCAGAUUGUCUGAACAACAGUUGCAUGGAGCAAAACCGCAAUAGGUGUUUGUGUUGAUAGAAAGCUUCUUCAAUGCACAGCAGCAACACCUGAAUGAAUUAUUUAAGCCGACGGAGCAAACAUGACGUGUGCUGCACUCGGAUAGAUGUACGCCAACUGUGAGCACAUGUCGACUGCAAAUAAACCCGAGUGCUGCUUGUCGUUAUCCAUG
Long non-coding RNA from Gambusia affinis (western mosquitofish), 696 nucleotides. RefSeq lists it as uncharacterized. Lineage: Eukaryota; Metazoa; Chordata; Actinopteri; Cyprinodontiformes; Poeciliidae. The transcript has 5 exons. The record is from RefSeq and is a predicted model, not a curated record.